Podarcis lilfordi (Lilford's wall lizard) is the source of this 67-nucleotide non-coding RNA. Lineage: Eukaryota; Metazoa; Chordata; Lepidosauria; Squamata; Lacertidae. The record is from the annotation of a GenBank genome assembly.
GGUAGCUCCGUGGUAGAGCAUCUGCCUUGCAUGCAGGAGACCCCAGGUUCAAUCCCCAACAGCAUCU